This 253-nucleotide ribosomal RNA is filed under the name uncultured bacterium. Its description in RNAcentral is "partial 16S ribosomal RNA". It matches the Rfam family "Bacterial small subunit ribosomal RNA", at positions 524 to 776 of the family's 1533-position model. The record is from RNAcentral.
UACGGAGGAUGCAGGCGUUAUCCGGAUUUAUUAGGUUUAAAGGGUGCGUAGGCGGCCUUUUAAGUCAGUGGUGAAAGUUUGCGGCUUAACCGUAAAAUUGCCAUUGAUACUGGGAGGCUUGAAUGAAGUAGAGGCAGGCGGAAUGUGUAGUGUAGCGGUGAAAUGCUUAGAUAUUACACAGAACACCGAUUGCGAAGGCAGCUUGCUAUGCUUAAAUUGACGCUGAGGCACGAAAGCGUGGGUAGCGAACAGG